Molecule: non-coding RNA, 395 nt
Organism: Penaeus vannamei (Pacific white shrimp)
Lineage: Eukaryota; Metazoa; Arthropoda; Malacostraca; Decapoda; Penaeidae
Source: RefSeq, a predicted model, not a curated record
UGCCACAACACAGUAAAAACCCUACUUGGUGGCCAUCUGUUCAAGGCCGUAUUAGAAGGGAACAAGAAAGAAGCAGAAAGACUGUUGGCAGUUGGUGCAGACCCAGACAGUCACGGUGGAAAGCUGGUGAAUGGAGUGUUGGCACGAGAGCUUGGAGUGACUACAGCUGGCCUCCUUGCCAGUGCCCUGAAUAUGGAAUGGGCUGUAACCAUGUUUGCCAAGAAUGCAAGAAAUGAUAAAAACGGUGAAACUGGCCUUCUGACAUCAGCUGUCUCAAACUCUGUGCAGCUUAAAGUUCCCUCACGACAAUUUCGUGUGAGACAUGCAACGGCAAUUCAAGGAGGUGCUGAUGUGUACAAGAUGGACAAGGAGGCACGAGGCUUUGUUCGCAUCUU